Molecule: long non-coding RNA, 1284 nt
Filed under: Equus asinus (donkey)
Lineage: Eukaryota; Metazoa; Chordata; Mammalia; Perissodactyla; Equidae
Description: lncRNA (ENSEASG00005036028.1)
Source: RNAcentral
CUGCUAGCAGCGAGAAUAUAACCAUGCUAUGUCUGUAGAGAGAGCACAUUAGAUGGCACAAAGAGUGGACCUGAUGUUGUGGGAAUCACCAUGCAGCACCAGGUGAAAGCAACUAAGGGUUUCCAGCGUCGAGAGCAACAGUGUGAACGUGGCCACGCCUCCAGCCUCCCUGUCAGCUGAUUCCCGCUCUCAAGUGGUCAAGGCCCCGUGAAGUGCAGACCAGCACAGAAACACAGUAAAUACAGGGAGCCUGCCCACAUUUGCCUACACCCAAAGAAUCCAGAAGCUCAUCUAUGCCUCUGUUUAGGCGGUUCCACGUUCUGACUCCACCAGGCACAGGACUCUCAUUUGCUCAAAAAACCACAGUGCACAUGGAUCUGAAAAGUCAGCAGUAGCUUGAGAACUUGGAAGGAGAACAGAGAUGUGUAAAGCGUCAACUGGAAAAGAGGAAAGUCGAAAUGAGGAACAAAAAGUCUGAAGUCCUGAAAAUGAUACACAUUGCAGCCUCUUUGCCUUUCUUUUACUUCCUUUAUUGUUCUCACCUCAUCAUGAAUUAGAAUGUAAUGCAGGAGCAGCAUGACAGAUCUUGCCCACUGAGCCACUAAAGGAAAAGAAAUUACAAAAUUUUUAAAUGAAAAAUCAUGAAUAAGUAAAGCAAGAGACUAUUUCUCUCUGACAUAGCAGCCUGCCCUCACUGCCCUGCAUUCUCAGAGGGAGAUGGAGACAGAGACAGAGGAAUGAAGAAGCCCAAUGGAAUCCACUCACUGAUAAACAACCAAAGGUCAUUAGUUUCUGUAACAUAAGCUUCUAAUGAGACACAUCAUCAUCACUGAAUCCCCUGUGCCCAGCUCAGAAACCUCAAGCACAACAAGUGUUCAAUAGUUUAAGUAAAAGAGUUGAAUAGUAAAAUCUGUUCUUGGCAACAUAAAAAUUAUGUGCCUACUGAAGGUGAAAUGAUUGCCGUUGGGUAAUUCCUCCACCUCCUUAGACGAAAGAAAUGUUUGCUCUCAGCACCUGAGGGCUGUUGACAUUUUUGAUACCUGGGGACUGAGUCAGGAGAGCAGGAGGUCACCACUGAGGACUGAGGUCCUUCACGCAAACACUUUAGGAGCAAGGGUGACGGUCCUGAAGGAUAAAUUAUUUUGCCAACACGGAAAUAAACCCCUCCACAGAAAAUAAAUCCUCAGGAUUGAAGUCCUCAGGCUGUGGUGAGCCUGCCCUCAGUUCUUGAGUCCAGGAGAGUUCAGGAUGAGGCCUCUGUCACUGGGGAGGAGCUGUGAUGUG